AGUUAACGUUGAAUCCUUAGAGUUAUCUUAGUUUUUUUAGUGGGUAAAAUCAGUAUAAAGUGCUGCUGUCUCUUUAAAAAUUUGGAGGGACUAAAAAACUUCGAUUUAAAACCAGGAUUAGAUACCCUGUUAUUCUUAGUAAUAGUUAGACAGGGUAGUAAAAGUUGUUCUUCAAACCCAAAGAUUUUGGCGGCACUUCAUCCAAAUAGAGGAGCUUGCCCCUUAAUCGAUAGUCCCCGUUUUAUCUUUCCUCUUCUUGUAAAGCUUGUAUACCGCCGUUGUCAGAUUACUUUUAGAGAAUGUUUUCAAAUCAAAGAACUUUUUUACUUCAGGUCAAGGUGCAGUUCAUGUAGGGGUGGAGGUGAGCUACAAUUUUUUCUAGAAAGACGAAUGCUGAGUUUUUAAAAUGGCUAAAGGUGGAUUUAUUAGUAAAAUGAUUUAAGUAAA
This 447-nucleotide ribosomal RNA is filed under the name Daphnia umbra. RNAcentral's name for it is "partial 12S ribosomal RNA". The record is from RNAcentral. Lineage: Eukaryota; Metazoa; Arthropoda; Branchiopoda; Diplostraca; Daphniidae.